UGGGGAAUAUUGCACAAUGGGCGCAAGCCUGAUGCAGCCAUGCCGCGUGUGUGAAGAAGGCCUUCGGGUUGUAAAGCACUUUCAGCGGGGAGGAAGGCGAUAAGGUUAAUAACCUUGUCGAUUGACGUUACCCGCAGAAGAAGCACCGGCUAACUCCGUGCCAGCAGCCGCGGUAAUACGGAGGGUGCAAGCGUUAAUCGGAAUUACUGGGCGUAAAGCGCACGCAGGCGGUUUGUUAAGUCAGAUGUGAAAUCCUCGGGCUCAACCUGGGAACAGCAGCUGAUACUGGCAAGCUUGAGUCGCGUAGAGGGGGGUAGAAUUCCAGGUGUAGCGGUGAAAUGCGUAGAGAUCUGGAGGAAUACCGGUGGCGAAGGCGGCCCCCUGGACGAAGACUGACGCUCAGGUGCGAAAGCGUGGGGAGCAAAACAGG
This 430-nucleotide ribosomal RNA is filed under the name Chloroflexota bacterium. RNAcentral's name for it is "Chloroflexi bacterium partial 16S ribosomal RNA". It matches the Rfam family "Bacterial small subunit ribosomal RNA", at positions 355 to 776 of the family's 1533-position model. The record is from RNAcentral. Lineage: Bacteria; Bacillati; Chloroflexota.